GUCUUUUUGAUAAUAAUUUAAAGUCUAGCCUGCCCAAUGAUAAUUUAAAUGGCCGCGGUAUUUUGACCGUGCAAAGGUAGCAUAAUCAUUAGUUUUUUAAUUGAAAGCUUGUAUGAAAGGUUGAACGAAAAAAUUACUGUCUCAAUUUUAUUUAAUAAAAAUUUUAUAUUUGAGUUAAAAAGCUUAAAUAUAUUUAAAAGACGAGAAGACCCUAUAGAGUUUUAUAUAAUUUAAAAUUUGUUUGUAAAUAAUUAAAUUUAAUUUUAAUUUAUAUUUUAUUGGGGUGAUAAAUAAAUUUAAUAAACUUUAUAUAAUUUUUUACAUUGAUUUAUGAUAAUUUUGAUCCAUAUUUUUGAUUAUAAGAUUAAAUUACCUUAGGGAUAACAGCGUAAUUUUUUUUGAGAGUUCUUAUCGAAAAAAAAUUUUGCGACCUCGAUGUUGGAUUAAAAUUUAAUUUUGGUGUAGAAGCUAAAAUAUUGAGUCUGUUCGACUUUUAAAAUUUUACAUGAUCUGAGUUUAAACCGGUGUAAGCCAGGUUGGUUUCUAUCUUUAAAAAAUUAAAAUAUUUUAGUACGAAAGGACCAAAUAUUUAUAAAAAUUAUUUUAAUUGAAUAUUAUUGUUAUUUUGGCAGAUUAGUGCAUUAAAUUUAGAAUUUAAGAAUGUAAUUAUUACAAAUAAUACUUGUUUUAUAAAGAUUUAAUUUUAAUAUUAAUUAGAGGAUUAUUAUUAGUAAUUUGUGUUUUAAUU
RNAcentral lists this ribosomal RNA (748 nucleotides) under Ochthebius balfourbrownei. Its description in RNAcentral is "partial large subunit ribosomal RNA". The stretch from base 1 to 574 matches the Rfam family "Bacterial large subunit ribosomal RNA", at positions 1819 to 2925 of the family's 2925-position model. Lineage: Eukaryota; Metazoa; Arthropoda; Insecta; Coleoptera; Hydraenidae. The record is from RNAcentral.